Molecule: RNA transcript, 1135 nt
Organism: Alosa alosa (allis shad)
Lineage: Eukaryota; Metazoa; Chordata; Actinopteri; Clupeiformes; Clupeidae
Gene name: B-cell receptor CD22-like
Exons: 6
Source: RefSeq, a predicted model, not a curated record
UAACACUUCAUUAGGAUCAGAGCAGAAUCUCAGUUUUACUAACAUCAGCUCUGGGGACAUGGGGCAAUACUAUUGUGAAGUGGCAAACACAGUUGCAUCCAGUUACUCUGCAGUGCUACAUAUGAAUGUUUACUAUUCCCCCAGGAACACAGAAGUGAUCAUUAGUUCCUCUGGAGAGGGAAGUUUAGUGACUCUCACCUGCAACACUGACUCCAAUCCCCCAGUGCACACAUACUCCUGGUACAGGAAGAAUAGUAGUGGCUCUGUUCUUACGGCCACAGGGAAUAGCAGCAGCUUUACUGGUGUCUCGGAUGGUGACAUUUACUAUUGUGUAGCACACAAUGAAUAUGGCUCUCAUAACUCCUUUGAAAUUGAAGUGACUUCCACAGCCCUAAAUCAGCAAACAGGUAUGCCAGCAGGGCUGUUUGCUGCUUUAGGGAUCAUACCAGCUGUAGCUAUAAUAGUGGUCCUUGUGUUUGUGUGCAGAAGAGGGAAAGGUAUAUCCACCACUGAGAACACAAGUACAAUGGUAGAUGAUAAACAGCCGGAAGACCCCAGUCCUGUGUAUGAACAAGUUUCUGCAGUGCUGUUGACAUCUGACCAAGAAGACAGAGUGGACUCACAAGGAGAUCAAGAGGUCUCAGGAGGAGACAGAGUGGACUCACAAGGAGAUCAAGAGGUCUCAGGAGGAGAUCAAGUCGUCUCAGGAGGAGCUCCAGUGGUCUCAGGAGAAGAUCAAAAUGACUCAGGAGGAGUCCAGUACGGCAAUAUCCAGUUCAAGGCCAAAAACAAGGACACGGCUCAAGAUUCUCCAGCUGUGCAAUCUCAAUAGAAGGAGGAAGAGGAAGAGGAUGUUGCAUACGCCUCGGUGAAGUUCCGUUCUCCCCCCGUGAUGUCAUCCAAGAUGAGGAUGAUACUGCAAUCUACAGCAAUGUCAACAAACCCAGAAGCUGAACACAAAGGACUAAAGUGUGUCUGACCCCAACAGGCUUGUAGCAUCCUAAGAUUUCAAGAUAAAUAACAUUUUCUUGCUGUAUCCAAAAUCCCCUUUUGCAUUAUUAUUAUUAUGACCGCCGCGGUCAUAUAGGUUUAGUCAGAUUAUUUAUUUUUUGUUUUUUUUCGCAUGGCCAAAUUU